Molecule: ribosomal RNA, 253 nt
Filed under: uncultured bacterium
Lineage: Bacteria
Description: partial 16S ribosomal RNA
Rfam family: Bacterial small subunit ribosomal RNA
Source: RNAcentral
UACGUAGGGACCGAGCGUUGUCCGGAUUCAUUGGGCGUAAAGAGCUCGUAGGCGGCUGUUCAAGUCGAACGUGAAAACUCGGGGCUCAACUCCGAGCCUACGUUCGAUACUGGAUGGCUAGAGUCUGGUAGGGGGAUCUGGAAUUCCUGGUGUGGCGGUGGAAUGCGCAGAUAUCAGGAGGAACACCGGUGGCGAAGGCGGGAUCCUGGGACGGUACUGACGCUGAGACGCGAAAGCGUGGGGAGCGAACAGG